This 2354-nucleotide unclassified non-coding RNA is filed under the name Hevea brasiliensis (rubber tree). The record is from RNAcentral. Lineage: Eukaryota; Viridiplantae; Streptophyta; Magnoliopsida; Malpighiales; Euphorbiaceae.
AAGAAGAAGAAGGAGAAGGAGAAAUGGAUUUGGAGUCGGUGAAGAGAUACCUGGAGAAAGGCGGACGAGAAGGCGAAGAUGACAAGAACCGAUCAACCAUCGAAGGAAUGCCUCUCAGAUUCUUCGAACGCUUCAUAAUGCAAGGCCUUCACGUUGACCUUAUUGAACCCGGCCGUAUAGUUUGCUCCAUGAAAGUCCCUCCUCGCCUACUGAAUGCUGGCAAUUUCUUGCAUGGUGGAGCUACGGCCACGCUCGUUGACUUGGUGGGUUCAGCUGUAAUAUACACUGUUGGAGCCCAAUUUACCGGAGUUUCGGUGGAAAUCAACGUUUCAUACUUGGAUGCUGCUUAUGUCGAUGUGGGUAUCUUUUCUUCCCUCUUAUUUUACUUUGUUUUAUUUUCUUCUCAGUUUGAAUUGGGUAUUUCUUAAAUGUUUGAUAGAUUCAAGGGAAAAGGGGGGAAAAUCGAUCUAUUGCUCGUCUUUAGGUUUGAUUGACGUCUAUGCAUGGUGUUUUACCGUAAAGAGGGGCAGUUCUUUAACUCUAUCUCUUUGUGCUUGUAGUGGUAUCAAUACCAACUUAAUGGAUGCGAAUUUUGAUCCACAAAACCUGAAAUUGUUAAGAAAAGAAAAAAUUAUUAUCAUUUAUUAUCAACCUAAGACCUUACAAGCCCCGUAAUAGUUUUAUAUGAGUGAUUUCACCUAUGAUAUGAGCUCAAUGCCUGCCAUUAACCGCCUUCUAAGGCUGACCUAGCUGCCUAGUUUAUGAAAUUGCAUAAUUCUUAAAUAGCAUGAAAAAAUACUCGCUCUCUAGAAAACUGAAAAACAAUUAAUUGUAGGAUUGGUAGCAUAUCUCUUGUGUGGGAAUCACUUGUUUGGAACUUAUAUUAAACAAAGCUUCAAUCAAUCUAUUGGGGUCAGCUAUCUGGAUUCUUUUCCUCUGUUUCACUUUUAGUUCUAUGGAAAUGCAUAGAGUUGCUAAAUCAUUUUCCACUACAUCACCCCACAUUAUAUUUUGUCUACCCCUUAGUUUCUUCUCUUUGCAAGUUCAAUAUGCUUAAACCUUUUGUACCAGUGCAUUUGCUAGUCUAAAGAGUACAUGUUCAAACCAUCUUAAUUGCUGGUGUUUCAACUUGUGUUUCUUGGGCGCCACUUUCACCUUCUUCUGAAUGCACUUAUGCUAGUUCUUCCACUUCCAUCUGUAGGCUCUCCAAUUAUUUUGGUUUCCUCUUAAAGAUGAUGAUUAGGCUAACCAAAAUCUUUUAAGUUUCCAAUGGAUGGAUGACACUAGCUUCAGCCUUUUUAGAUAUUUUGAGAGAUGCUUAAUGUUAUCCGAAAGAAUUCAGUUUUCAAAAUAUGUACCAUUUUAUAUAUUUUUUUUCUUCUCUUUCCUUGUACAGUAUGGUUAUUGAUAUAAGCCAUAUAAUUUAAUACAGGGCUGAUCUUUAAUGGGGUGAAAGCCCUCUUUUUUCCUUCAAGGUUUUUACCAUCUUCUCCCUGUUCUUUCAACAAGCAGUAUUGUUACUAACAGUAAUGCCUCUGCGUUUGACUACUUUUUGUUUGAUUUAGAAAGAACCUAACAUUUAUUUAUGUAACAAAUUCUUCUGAAGUUUCAUUUCCAUUCUCACUCAGUUGGAGUUGUAUCCCUGGGUUAGUAUUUUUUACAACUUCUAGUUUUGUUUUCUUCUUUACCUAGCUAUCGUGAAGGCUUUGCUUGCUCUUUAUGAAAGGAAAGAAGCAGAUAGGGGGUGGGGAGGCAUAGAUCCUAGUAUUAUGCUUCGGAGAAUGCAUAAAGCAGUAGCUGUUUUACCGAAUGUCUGUACCAUGUUUGAUGAAUGUUGCAUAGCCAUUGCAUUACAUUAGGUUCCAUAUUCCGUGCAUACUUUCAAAUGUAGUUUGUUUAUAUCUGUUGGAUUUUAGAAUCCUCAUAUUGUAAAAACUAGAAUUUCAAAUUUUGAGGGCAUGUUUUAUAGUUUAAAACAGCUAUGGUCGUUGGCUGUCCUAUGGUCUAUGUCCAGUUUGUUUAACUUCCAGAUUUAAAAUAUUUGUAUUUUAGCAGUCUUUAUAGUAGCAAGACUAGCAAGUCUGAAAAAAACUGUAACUUGGUGGGCAAAAAGAUCAUUAAUGUGAAAUCUCUUCUGCUCAAUGUAUUGUUUUUCCAUGUGAGACUCGUAAAAAUUCAAAUCAAGACUAUUUGUGUUUUCUAUUCUUUUAUCAACUAGUUCUUUACUCUCUUUCCUUUAUUUUUAUUCGGCAAAAUGUUCAAUUUUGCCCCUAUACUUAUUAGCAAAGUUCAAUUUAACUCAUUUUCAACUUUUUGUCCAAAUUAAUAAAAAAUUUUAAUUUAAGCUCAAUUUA